UACAGAGGGGGCGAGCGUUGUUCGGAAUUACUGGGCGUAAAGGGCGCGUAGGCGGCCUUCUAAGUCGAACGUGAAAUCCCCGGGCUCAACCCGGGAACUGCGUCCGAUACUGGGAGGCUUGAAUCCGGGAGAGGGAUGUGGAAUUCCAGGUGUAGCGGUGAAAUGCGUAGAUAUCUGGAGGAACACCUGAGGUGAAGACGGGUUGCUGGGCUGAUACUGACGCUGAGGCGCGAAAGCUAGGGUAGCAAACGGG
This 253-nucleotide ribosomal RNA is filed under the name uncultured prokaryote. RNAcentral describes it as "partial 16S ribosomal RNA". It matches the Rfam family "Bacterial small subunit ribosomal RNA", at positions 524 to 776 of the family's 1533-position model. The record is from RNAcentral.